Molecule: ribosomal RNA, 109 nt
Filed under: Scutigera coleoptrata (house centipede)
Lineage: Eukaryota; Metazoa; Arthropoda; Chilopoda; Scutigeromorpha; Scutigeridae
Description: partial large subunit ribosomal RNA
Rfam family: Bacterial large subunit ribosomal RNA
Source: RNAcentral
UCUUAUUUGAGAGUUCAUAUCGACAAUAAGGGUUGCGACCUCGAUGUUGGAUUAGAAUUCCUUUUUGGAGCAGAAUCUAAAAAUGGUGGUCUGUUCGACCAUUGAAAUU